Long non-coding RNA from Hipposideros armiger (great roundleaf bat), 586 nucleotides. RefSeq lists it as uncharacterized. The record is from RefSeq and is a predicted model, not a curated record. The transcript has 5 exons. Lineage: Eukaryota; Metazoa; Chordata; Mammalia; Chiroptera; Hipposideridae.
AUUGCGGACGGACAGCGCCCCCUGCCGGAGCGACUGCGGCGCCGCGCGGCUGCCCAGCCCAGGGCCCCGGCGGCCCGAGUUCUCGUCGCCGGCUGUCGAGCAACAGCGGGCUGUGGCUCUCUGGCUGUGCCGGCCUCGGAGAAGGGGUGCCGGGGAAGGCUACCCCGUGGCUGCUGCGUCACGCACCUAAGGCACCCAAGUGUCCUGGAGUUCGUGGACGGACAGAGAAGUCACCAGCACGCGAGGCUCUGAGGUGGAUUCAUAGCAACAGCCUGGGAGAAGCUUACCACUGAGUCCAUCCAGCAGGCACAAGGGGUCCGAUUCCGUCUCCCUCAGGGAUUUCGGACACGCGAAAAGGGCUGCUCGCCACACCUUUGCACUUGCUUCACCAAGCCCCAUGAGAGACCGCUGCUGCUUGGAGAGUCACAUAAGUGAAAGGUUUGUCUGUGUCCUGUGGUUUCAAUGCUUUGAUGUUUCCCCUUGAAGUUUUCUCAGAAGUUGGAUUGUCCCAGGCGAUGUCACCCUUCUCCUGGUCCCAGGAGAUGUUCGGAGGAACCCUUUCAGAUACUCCGGAACAAAAUUCCAA